UGCCCUGAUAAGGGUGGCGUCAGCUCAGCCUGCUGCUGCCUUUUCUCUCCCCCAGGGACAGGCUGCAGGGGGAAGCAGGGGUUCCAGGCCCCCCAACCUUACGCACCAAGCCCAGAUCAGUGGGGGUGAGGCGCGGGGCAGAUGGCAGCCUUGGGUAUGUGGGGGGCCGUUUUUCUCAGACGCUCUGGAGUUCCCUGUCCUGACACAGGCUGAGCUGCAUGCCAGUAUUACCAGCUGCACGGUUCUGGGAGACACCCUCCAAGAGAUGCUGGGUGGGAGAAACAGCCCAGGAAUGCCUGUUAAACACCAGAGGUCAGCUGGCGGGGGCCAUGGGAGCCACGUGGGGUGGGAUGGGAUCUGUCUCUCAUCGGAGCAGCUGAAUAAUGGAUCUGUCGUCCCCCAGGGUGGGGCACAGAGCCAGGGAUCAGACAGGGCCUUUCCCUGCUCACUGCUGGAGACAAGCUUCCGGACAGCCCCACCCCGAACCUAUCUCCACCAAAAGCUCUGCCCUUGGGAUUUCUUAUCACAGGGCGCGGUCAGUGUAGUGCUGGCAAUCAGAAGACCCCGCCUGUGACCUCAGGGCAAGUCACGCCCUGGUGCCGUGCCUCAGUUUACCCAGCUGUCCAGUGUGGAUCAUCCUGACAGCCGUGGGAAGACAGGAGCAGGAGGUGGCAAGGGACAUGUGAGGCAAUGCUGACUCCAGGCAGUGCUACCAGUCCUGAUGCUCUGGGCCUCAGUUUCCCCCUCUGCACAACGGGGAGAAUGAUACUCAGCUCCUUGGUAAAGUGAUCUGAGAUCUACAGAUGAAACGUGCUAGGUGCUGCUUUCACCAUCUCCGGCUGCAUCCCACCCUGGCAGGCAAUGCCCUGGCAUUAGUGCUACCAGCCGGUGUCCCCUCCCGCCUGGGCUCCAGCGCUGCCAUAAAUCUGGGCAUGAAGACCUCAGAGAGCUCCAGCGUGCCGAAUGCUGCACCACAGGCUCCCAUGAGCUCCCCCCGUCAGCUCCCCGUGAGCAGGUCCUGCUGUCGCCAACCUCAAGAGAGCAAAAAACCUGAGUCAGACCCGAAAACAUGAGGAGAUUGGCUCCAAAAACAUGGGAUAUUUUUGUUUUUAAAGUA
Long non-coding RNA from Chelonia mydas (Green sea turtle), 1117 nucleotides. RefSeq lists it as uncharacterized. The transcript has 3 exons. The record is from RefSeq and is a predicted model, not a curated record. Lineage: Eukaryota; Metazoa; Chordata; Testudines; Cheloniidae.